RNAcentral lists this Y RNA (112 nucleotides) under Aotus nancymaae (Ma's night monkey). RNAcentral's name for it is "Y RNA (ENSANAG00000006767.1)". It matches the Rfam family "Y RNA". From Rfam's summary of the family: Y RNAs are components of the Ro ribonucleoprotein particle (Ro RNP), in association with Ro60 and La proteins. The Y RNAs and Ro60 and La proteins are well conserved, but the function of the Ro RNP is not known. Lineage: Eukaryota; Metazoa; Chordata; Mammalia; Primates; Aotidae. The record is from Rfam by way of RNAcentral.
GGCUGGUCUGAAGUUAGUGGGUUACCUGAAUUGAUUGUUCACAGUGAAUUGUAGGUCAAACUCCUUCUUCUACUGUUUUCCCCUUCUCGUUAAUACAUUUGACUAGUUUUUU